AUUUUGUUCCUUAUAUAUAUAUAUAAAAUAUUUUUUUAGCAGGGACAAGACACUUAAACAAUGGUAUCGUUUAGGGAUGGUGUCGACCAAGGAGCAAUUACAAGGCACUUAAUAUUUUGUCUUUUUUUGGGAUAUGUAUAUGCGUACAAUUACAAUGCACAUGUCGUGUAGUAUUAUGUAAUUGACUUUUUUGUAAUGAAAAUAUUUAUAAUAUUUAGUUUGAGAAAUUCUUUUGGUGUUUUUUAAAUAUUAUUGGUUGCUUUUAAUAUUGGUAGUCAAUAGAUGUGAAUAUCCAGUUAUUAAAUUUAGAGAAUUAGGUUCCUACCGGAUAUAUAUAUAAUUUUGGUCAUUAUAGCUUUUGAGAAGAUAAGUUUUAGUGGCGACAUUAUUUUGUCACAAAAUAUUAGUAAUUGUUGCGAUGUUAAAAUUGCCACUGUUAGUUUAUUUCUUUUGCAGCGACUUUAGUCGCAACAGAAAGUUAUUGUGCCUUUCUUGGUUAAUUAUUUUGUAGCGACAUGAGUUGCUACUAAAAGUCAUUUAUAGUGGCGAUAUGAACUUGCCACUGAAAAUAUGUUUUGCCAGCGAUAGCAGUCGCCGCUAAAAGGGAAUAGCAGUGGCGACCCAGCUAAAAUUUUAUUCUUGUGGAACCAUUUUUGUAGCGGGUUUUGCCACCUUUUGCGGCGACUGUAUCGCCGCAAAAUAUGAGCUUUUAGCGGCGACCUUUUGGCGUUGCCACAAAUACCUUUCAGUUACGGUUUUCCUUGUAGCAACACAAAUGUCGGCACUAAUAACAUGUAGCAGCGACUUUCAUGGAUUUUGUAGCGACUUUAGUCGCCGCAAUAAGUCUAAUUUCUUGUAGUUAGGGAACAAAAUUGUUCUAAACCAUGUUUGAUGGCUUGGCUUGACUUAUCAUUUGCUCUAGCCAUUAGGGUAAGAUCGUCUGCAAAUAAUAGAUGAGAGAUUUUUGGACAUCUACUACCUAAGGAUAUGAGAUCCUAAUUUCUAGUGUCCACUUGGUGUUCAAUGUAUCUAGUGAGCAAUUCCAGGCAGAGAAUAAAUAUAUAGGGGGAAAUAGGGUCCCUUUGUCUUAUUCCUCUACUUGGUGCAAAAUAAUUUGUGACAGAGCUAUUUACUAAAAUUGCAAUAUUACUAGUAGAGAUGCAACUCAGUAAUAAUUUAGAGAAUUUAGGAGGAAAUUUAAAGUAGUCAAGGGUGUGACGAACGAAGACAUUUCUAAAGGACCAAAUGCUUUUUCUAGAUCAAUUUUUAGAAUCAUGUGGCCCUACUUUCCUUUUAACUUAUUAAACUUAGAGACCAACUCCUGAAUGAGGAUGGCAUUAUUAGAUGCCCUUCUAUUUUUCAUAAAACUAGUUUGAUAUGGACUGAUCAGUAGAUUAAGGAAUGGUUUAAGUCGGUUAUCUUAGUAAUAAGUUUAUAGAUUGUAUUGUAUAAACCAAUAGGCGUGAAAUUUCGAAUGUUGUUGGCAUUAUGGAUUUUAGGAAUAAGGCAGAUAUAGGUUUUGUUAAUUUCAGGGGGGAUUUCCUGGUUCUGAAAAAUGUCAUGACAGAGCUUACAAACUGAUUGACCUAUAAAAUGCCAAUAUUUCUGGAAGAAAAAAGGAUACAAUCCAUCCGGACCCAGAGAUUUAAAGGGUUUGAAUGAGAAAAUAGCUCUUUUAAUCUCAGAAUAUGUUAGGGAGAUAUCAAGGUUGUCUAAAUUAAUGUUAUUACCACUAUAAUGGUGAAUUAGAGGGUUGGCUCAACUGGAUUGUGGGUGAGAGGAGGUAAAGGUAGAGAUAAAAUAGUUGUGAACAUGGGACAUGAUCUGGCUAUGAUCAUUAAUCCAAUUACUAGCCUCAUCUUUAAAGAAGUUAAUCUUGUUUCUUCUUUUUCUAUUAGUGACUGAGACAUGAAAGAAUUUUGUAUUUGUGUUACCAUCAUUAAGCCACAAGAUUAGUUUCCAAUAGUCCUCUUCAAUUUUAAGAAUAUCAUUGAAAUCAUUCUUGAGGUCUAAUUCUAGUUUGUGAUGGAAAAUGCUGGUAGAAUAGCUAUUGGAAUUUUGGAAUGCCUUGAAGUCUAGCUAGCAAUUUUCUUUUCCUUUCCAUAAUAUUUUCAAAGGUGAUGUUUUUCCAAGGCUUUAGUUUUUCCACAAAGUUAAGGCUAGCUUUGAAAUAGUCACUAUCAUUCCAAUUAUUUCUUACUAAACUCUGAAAUUCCGGAUGUUUGCACCAAAAGGUUUCUAGUCUAAAAGGGAUUUUACAAAGAGAUCUGUUUUUAGGGAUUAACUCUAUAAGAAUAGGGUUAUGGUCAGAGUGCGUUCUAGGCAGGUGUAUUAUAGAGCUUUUAGGAAAAAGUUCUAUCCACUCCUCAUUCCCAAAAACCUUGUCAAGUCUUUCCAAAAUAAAACCUUUUUAAUUAUGUCUAUUGUUUGUCCAAGUAUAUUUACUACCUUUAUAGCCAAGAUCAAUCAAAUUACAAUUGUUAAUUUUAGACCAUAUAUAUCUAGCUCUACUAUCUUUAAUAGGUCUACCACCAAAUUUUUCACUAGCGGCUAGAAUAUCAUUAAAGUCACCUCCCACAAGCCAAGGUCCUUUGUAAGAGUUGCUAAUAUUUUUUAGAUGCUCCCACAUUAUAUUUCUAUUGUAAACACAAGUACUAGCAUAAAUAGAAGUAAAAAGCCAAGGUUUACGUAUGGGAAGUACCUCAAUAGUUGCAUGGAUCUCUUGGUUCCUACGUACUGCAUUUUGAACGUUGAUUAUAUCAUCCUUCCAUAUUAUAACCAUGCCUCCUGAUUGACCCUCCAAAGGCACUUCAAUCAUCUCAGUAAAGCCAAACUCGUUGAGCAUGGCUGCAUGAUUACCCAUUCUAGUUUCCAACAGUAUCACUAAGCAAGGUCUAUGGGUGUCGAUCAUUUCCCUAAAAUUCCUCCUGAAGUUAUCAUUGUUCCCUUCCUAAUAUUCCAAAUUAUAAAGUUAGUAGGCUGAUUCAUUAAUGAAUUAGUUGCAUGGUUGACUGUCACCUCAUUCUCCCUUACCCCCCCUAGGACAGGGUUUCUUCUCAUCGAGGGUACUAGAAUCAUCGCCUUGUUGCCCACUGUUGGAUUGUGUGGCGGACGGAUGUCCAUCGAGCACUUGUAUAGGGCUAAAGGGCUGUUGAGCACAUGCCUCUUCUCAUGCCUCUCCAUGAAGAGAAAGAUUUUUAUUCCUUCUAGGUUUGAGAGUUCUAGAACUGGCCCUAAGUUUAGGUUUAGGGGGACAUUGUCCUCUUCCAUUACUGCCUCCACUGGACCGGGUAUGGGGUCUGCCUGCUGUUGUUGUGGUGGUACUAGGGAGUGGUGGUGGGUUGGGAAUCUCUUGGUUCCCCUGGUUGAUAUCCCAAGGUAGAAAGAUCGGUUGGAGUUGAGUGUACAUUUCCAGUGGGAAGAAGGGGAGGUACAAGGGAGCAUUUUGGGGGUUGAAGGGAUUGAAUUGGGGAGGCAUGUUCCAUUGUUCUCUCAUUACUUGAGCCAUUUGAGGGUUCAAUGAUGGAGCCAUUGGUUGGAUUAUGUUGUUUAGCCAAACUUGGUUGAGAUAGUUGUUCAUAGCUAACCUCAUUCCCUCCGUUAUGAGUUGAGCUAAGUAUUGCGUGUUGUGGAGAAUCACUAUUGCCUCUUGACCGUUGAUUGGCACAGUGAAGGAGAUUGCAUGGCCCAUGAGACCUAGUUCCAUCCAACUUGUCGGUUGGUAAUCUUGAGUUUGGGCAUAGAUUAUCUGAGGUUGUUCUUGUGGGUGGAGGGGUGGAAUGUUUUCCAUAGUCAGUGGCCUGUGUUGACAAAGGAUUUGGAUGAGUCGAUUCCUUCUUCGUAGGGAUGAAGGAACUCUUGGCAUAUUGGGUGGGGAAAGAUGUAUUAAAUGAACUAUUAGUAGGCGUGGGGUUAGAGGUAAUGGAUAGGGGGAGCUUAUUGGUGGAAGAUCCAAUGAUUGAGUCUUCCAAGCUUAUGUGUUUUGGUUGCUCAAUGCCUUGCUUUAAAGGGCAAUUGAUGGCUUCCGUUUGGGUUUCUAAAAGUUUGUCCAUUUGGCUUCUAUGAUCUAAGUCCAUUGCCAUUUGGCAUGCAUGCUAAGGGGUAGUAAUCUUUUCAAAUCUUAAGGAAAGAUUUUGAGUAGAUCCUACGGAUAAAGGAAGAUUUUGGAAGGAUUUUUGUUUUAGGGUGGGAGGGGUUUAAGGUAGUAGGGGUAGGAUUAGUUAGAGGGUUAGAAGUGUCCGUUAGUGUGCCAUUUUACAUGGCAUUAUUAGUAUCUAAGAAUUUGAAAACACUAGAUGCCACAUUGGAAUCAUUCAUGCAAGUGUCUUGUAUAUCAAGAUCCAAGUCAUUACUUAAUUGAUUAAAUUUAUUUUUACAAAGAGAAUUUAUAUUAUCCAUAGUGGUUUUGGCAAAACCGUUUGCCUCUUAUCUAAUUGGUGGUUUUUAUUGAGGGUAAUGGUUUGAUCAAUAGCAAUGCUAGGAUGGGUAUUAACUUUUGAGUUAUGGUUAUUAGAGGAAUAAUCUUUAGAUUUGUAUUGAAGCGUUUGAGUAACCAAGUAUUUACAUGUAUUUGCAUUGAAUAAUUUAACUGGGAUACCUGGACCAUAAUUGCCUUUUGCUUGGAUGAUGGCCGGUUGGUUAGGAAUUUUUUUUCCUUGAUUCUUCCUCUUGUUGAAUGAAACAGUUUUCCAUUCUGUUUCAUUAUCUUCCUUUGUAGCUGCUUGUUGAUGAACUUGUCCUGCAUGGUGAGGAUCUAUGCUUUGUAUCUUGAUAUAGAUGCACUGCCUUAGUGUGUGAUCAAAACGACCAUAAUUUUUACAGAGAAAAUCUUCCCCUUCAUAGUGUAUAUAUUGCUUGUGGUGUUCAACAAAUAGGUAGGGUUGAAUUGGGAUUUCCAAAGGAAUUUCAAUACAAAUCCUUGCAUAUCGAUCUCUUAGGGUUGUUGAAGUGAAUGUGUCAAUUUUCAAUAGGCGUCCUAUUGUUUUUCCAAUUUUUACUAGGAUUUUGCCAUCAUAAAAUUCCGUUGGCAAUUGAGGUAGCCUAAUCCAAACUACAGAGGUAGUUAAUUUUUCAUUUCUAGCCACAAAAUUUGGUUUUCAUUUGGAGAUAGACAGGAAAUGGCCAUUAAUGAACCAUGGACCUAGGUGGAUAGCUUUAUCCAUGUUUUCUUUCUUUGUGAAUUUGAUGAUGUAGUAGUCCUCACCAAGAUCAAUUAAUGAGAAGUCUUCUGUUGGUUUCCAUAGAUCUUGGAUCUUCCUCUUUAGGUAAUGAUGCAACAUACGUUUACCUACUAACUUGAUUAUAAUAUAGUAUUUCCAUGCCUCAUAGAUACGUUGUCUAUCUUCUAAUGAAAGGGAAAUUUGUAUGGCAUCUCCUACGUUAGCUUCUGGAUCAUGCAUAGGUUCCUUAGCUUCCAUUGCAUUUGUUGUGUAGGGCAAAUCCAUUGGGUUUGAUUCCAACAGUUUUUCCUUGAAGGAUGUUAAUUUCUCCAAAUCAUUUUGUAAAGGAUUUUGAUGGACUAAGUCCGGUGGUUUUGGAGGAAUAUUGUCAUGUUUCUCAAAGAGUUGGGAGUUCAUUCUAGAGAGAAGUUGGAGAUUCUCUCACUAAAAAAGAUUUUGGAUGUGACCUCUAAGGGUAGUUGAUGUACAUAUGUCAAUUUUUAGUAGGCGUCCUAUUGCAUUGCCAAUUUUCUCCAGGAUUUUCCCAUUGUAAAACUCUGUUGGCAACUGAGGAAGCCUAAUCCAAACAGCUGAGGUGGUUAAUUUUUCAUUUUUAGCCACGAAGUUUGGUUUCCAUCUGGAGAUGGACAGGAAGUGACCAUUUAUGAACCAUGGACCUGAGUGGAUGGCUUUACCCAUGUUCUCCUUCUUCUUGAAUUUGAUAAUAUAAUAGUCUUCUCCAAGAUCAGUGAUAGAGAAGUCUUCUAAUGGAUUCCAUAGAGCUUGAAUUUUCUUUUUUAAAUUAGGACCGUGAAUGAUAGUGCAUGGCCCAUGAGACCUAGCUCCAAACCAUGGACAACUUAAGAACCUCUAACUUAAUCCCUCCUAAACUCCCUGACAUAAUCCAUCACAACCUCCACCAACUAAACAAGGUCCUUUAUAAGAAUUGCUAAUACUUUCUAGGUGAUCCCACAUAAUAUUUCUAUUAUAAAUACAAGUACUAGCAUAUAUGGAAGUAAAAGGCCAGGGUUUACGUAUAAGAACUACCUCUAUGGUUGCAUGGAUCUCUUGACCCCUACGAAUAGCAUUUUGAACGUUGAUUAUGUCGUCCUUCUACAGCAUUACCAUACCACCAGACUGCCCUUCCGAUGGAACUUCAAUCAUCUCAGUGAACCCAAACUCAUUAAGCAUGGCCGCAUGGUUACCCAUCCUUGUUUCCAACAACGUCACCAUACACGACCUAUGUGUGUCUAACAUUUUCCUAAAGUUUCUCCUAAAAUUAUCAUUAUUCCCUCCCUGUAUAUUCCAUAUUAUGAAAUUUGUGGGAUGAUUCAUGACUAAAUUAGAUUUAGGGUUGACCAUCUCUCCAUUCUCCCUUUUCCCUCCCACUUGGAAAGAAUUUCUUCUCAUCGAUGGAACUAGAAUCAUCGCCUUGUUGCCCGCUGUUAGGUCGUGUGGAGGAUGUAUAUCCAUCGAGCAUUUGUGCCAACGGGCAGCUGAGUACAUGCCUCUUCUCGUGCCUCUUCGUGAAAAGAAAUUUUUUUAUUCCGUCUAGGUUUGAGAGUUCUAGGGUUGGUCCUAAGUGUAAGUUUAGAAGGACAUCGUCCUCCUCCAUUUCUGCCUCAGUUGGACCGGUAUGGGGUCGUCUUGAUGUUGAGGUGGGGGUAAUGGAAGGGGUGGAGGGGGGUGCCAUCUCUUGGUUUCCCUGAUUGAUGUCUCAAGGAAGAAAGAUGGGGUUGAAUUGAGUGUACAUCUCUGUUGGAAAGAAGGGAAGAUUCAAUGGGGUAUUUUGAGGAUUUAUGGGAUUGAACUGAGGUGGUAUGCUCCAUUGUUCUCUCAUCAUUUGAGCCAUUUGAGGAUUCAUUGAUGGAGCCAUCGGGUGGAUAAUGUUGUUGAGCCAUACUUGAUUGAGAUAGUUAUUCAUGGCCAAUCUCAUUCCCUCCAUGAUGAGUUGUGCUAGAGAUAUUGGAUGUUGUGGAGGAUCACAAUAGCCUCUUGGCCAUUAAUUGGGAUCGUGAAUGAUAAUGCAUGGCCCAUGAGACCUAGUUCCAUCCAACUCGUGGGUUGGUAGUUUCUCACACAAAAAUUAUAAAACUUUCAGUAACUCACACAAGAAUCAUAGUUACCGGAAAACACAACUUUUUGGGAGUAGUAUUUUCUUAUUUUUUAUCUUUUAUUUUUUAUUUUCUGUCUAAUAAAUAAUAACACAAUUAAUCUCCCAGAAAAUAAUAACCGAUAAAAUAAAUUUUAUAUAUUUAUUUUGUCUAGCGGAUAUAAUAAAUUUCUACCCUCCACACAAUUUUUAUUUUUAUUUUUAAAAUAGGAAUGACCCAACCUGGAUCUACCCAAAAUAUAUUUAUAUAAUAUAAAAUAAUACUAAACGUAAAUCCUUUCCAACAAAAAAAAUUACUUUAAAAAAAAUUACUUUAGAAUGCGUGAGAUUAUGAGCAAAAAAAAAAAA
This 7620-nucleotide long non-coding RNA is filed under the name Nicotiana tabacum (common tobacco). Its description in RNAcentral is "long non-coding RNA (NTAB_LNC019014)". The record is from RNAcentral. Lineage: Eukaryota; Viridiplantae; Streptophyta; Magnoliopsida; Solanales; Solanaceae.